GUAGUGGAGGGCGCCCUUGGGGAAGUCAAACAGCGACUCAACUUAUGACCCAAACGCAAGACAGACGACGGUACCAGUGGAGCAGAGCACCUGGGAUUUACCAUAGCACGAAAAAAAAGUUUCCUGACUCCUGGGAUAGACCAAAACAAGCUAGAAACAGCAUCACGAAGCAGAAGGUUCAUGGUAAAACGGAAGGAGAUAACGUCAGCAUCACCCAUCUGUGUACUGGAACCAGCCGUGGGGCCUCGGGCAUGUUCUCAUCCACCGCGGGCUUCACAUUCUCCCCAUCUGUAAAACGAGGCUGUCGUGAGGACUACAGGAGAAUAUGCAUUUAAAGAGUCUAGCCAGGCCAGGACCAACAUGAAGUAAGCAAGGAGACUGCGGAGCAAAAAUCCCACCAGGGACCCUCUCUCAGGGUGACAAGCUGUGCAUGGCUGACACUGGGGCGCCUCCUUGAAUGUUGUGUUAGGUGCCUUACUUGCUGCACCCUAGUCCCAGCCCUGCUCCUGGCAUGCAGUAGGUACUUGCUGUUAUUACUACAAGACCUUCAAGGAGGGUAUAACCUAGCAGAGUCAACAAGAAAAGCCAUCUAACAAUACACAAGAGAAACAAUGGCUCAGGACAUGGUCCAGGGGCAUAUGAUAGAUACCCAGUGAGCCUAGCAGAUAAUGAGGGUUCUAUUUCAGCAAACCCCCACAGCCUGCCCCUGAGGCUGAGCCGUCUCCAGGGGACCCAGGGUUGUCUGGAAACAGUUGCAAGCAAGAUUUCUUUGCAUUGUCCUAACUGGUGUGGCUCAGUUGGUUGGGCUUCAUCCGGCAAAGAGAAAGGUUGCUGGUUCAAU
Phyllostomus hastatus (greater spear-nosed bat) is the source of this 841-nucleotide long non-coding RNA. RefSeq lists it as uncharacterized. NCBI's taxonomy places the organism in Eukaryota, Metazoa, Chordata, Mammalia, Chiroptera, Phyllostomidae. The record is from RefSeq and is a predicted model, not a curated record. The transcript is spliced from 3 exons.